This 267-nucleotide ribosomal RNA is filed under the name uncultured bacterium. RNAcentral describes it as "partial 16S ribosomal RNA". It matches the Rfam family "Bacterial small subunit ribosomal RNA", at positions 793 to 1055 of the family's 1533-position model. The record is from RNAcentral.
GUCCACGCUGUAAACGGUGAAUACUGGGUGUGGGAGGUGUAAUGCCUUCUGUGCCGAAGCUAACGCGUUAAGUAUUCCGCCUGGGGAGUACGGCCGCAAGGUUGAAACUCAAAGGAAUUGACGGGGCCCGCACAAGCGGUGGAGCAUGUGGUUUAAUUCGACGCAACGCGAAAAACCUUACCUGGGUUUGACAUGGAGAGAACCCUGAUGAAAAGUCGGGGGUGUCCCGUAAGGGAAGCUCUCACACAGGUGCUGCAUGGCUGUCGU